GUAGGUGGCAAGCGUUGUCCGGAAUUAUUGGGCGUAAAGCGCGCGCAGGCGGGGUCCUUUAAGUCUGAUGUGAAAGCCCACGGGCUCAACCGUGGAGGGUCAUUGGAAACUGGGGGACUUGAGUACAGAAGAGGAAAGCGGAAUUCCAAGUGUAGCGGUGAAAUGCGUAGAGAUUUGGAGGAACACCAGUGGCGAAGGCGGCUUUCUGGUCUGUAACUGACGCUGAGGCGCGAAAGCGUGGGGAGCAAACAGGAUUAGAUACCCUGGUAGUCCACGCCGUAAACGAUGAGUGCUAAGUGUUAGGGGGUUUCCGCCCCUUAGUGCUGCAGCUAACGCAUUAGGCACUCCGCCUGGGGAGUACGGCCGCAAAGGCUG
This 375-nucleotide ribosomal RNA is filed under the name uncultured organism. RNAcentral's name for it is "partial 16S ribosomal RNA". It matches the Rfam family "Bacterial small subunit ribosomal RNA", at positions 527 to 896 of the family's 1533-position model. The record is from RNAcentral.